Molecule: ribosomal RNA, 635 nt
Filed under: uncultured bacterium
Lineage: Bacteria
Description: bacterial SSU rRNA
Rfam family: Bacterial small subunit ribosomal RNA
Source: RNAcentral
GCUUACCGGGGAAGGUCAUUGGAAACCGGGGAACUUGAGUGCAGAAGAGGAGAGUGGAAUUCCAUGUGUAGCGGUGAAAUGCGUAGAGAUGUGGAGGAACACCAGUGGCGAAGGCGGCUCUCUGGUCUGUAACUGACGCUGAGGCUCGAAAGCGUGGGGAGCGAACAGGAUUAGAUGCCCUGGUAGUCCAUGCCGUAAACGAUGAGUGCUAAGUGUUAGAGGGUUUCCGCCCUUUAGUGCUGCAGCAAACGCAUUAAGCACUCCGCCUGGGGAGUACGGUCGCAAGACUGAAACUCAAAGGAAUUGACAGGGGCCCGCACAAGCGGUGGAGCAUGUGGUUUAAUUCGAUGCAACGCGAAGAACCUUACCAGGUCUUGACAUCCUCUGACAACCCUAGAGAUUAGGCUUCCCCUUCGGGGGCAGAGUGACAGGUGGUGCAUGGUUGUCGUCAGCUCGUGUCGUGAGAUGUUGGGUUAAGUCCCGCAACGAGCGCAACCCUUGAUCUUAGUUGCCAGCAUUCAGUUGGGCACUCUAGCAAGACUGCCGGUGACAAACCGGAGGAAGGUGGGGAUGACGUCAAAUCAUCAUGCCCCUUAUGACCUGGCUACACACGUGCUAUAAUGGGCAGAACAACG